GGAAGGGUGGGUGAGUGGCUGAAACCAACAGUUUGCUAAACUGUCCAGGGGGUAACCUCUGCGCGAGUUCGAAUCUCGCCCCUUCCGCAA
Molecule: transfer RNA, 90 nt
Filed under: Ignavibacteria bacterium
Lineage: Bacteria; Pseudomonadati; Ignavibacteriota; Ignavibacteria
Description: tRNA-Ser
Rfam family: tRNA
About the family: Transfer RNA (tRNA) molecules are approximately 80 nucleotides in length. Their secondary structure includes four short double-helical elements and three loops (D, anti-codon, and T loops).
Source: RNAcentral